CGGCUAUACAGUGUUGAAACAGCGCUUCGCGUACGAUCAUCGAAGUGAAGCAACGUCGAGCCUAGUCAGUAUCUAGAUGGGUGACCGCUUGCGAAUACAUGGUGU
Molecule: non-coding RNA, 105 nt
Organism: Acanthosepion pharaonis
Lineage: Eukaryota; Metazoa; Mollusca; Cephalopoda; Sepiida; Sepiidae
Source: the annotation of a GenBank genome assembly